Molecule: ribosomal RNA, 253 nt
Filed under: uncultured bacterium
Lineage: Bacteria
Description: partial 16S ribosomal RNA
Rfam family: Bacterial small subunit ribosomal RNA
Source: RNAcentral
UACGGAGGGAGCUAGCGUUGUUCGGAAUUACUGGGCGUAAAGCGCACGUAGGCGGCGUUUCAAGUCAGAGGUGAAAGCCCGGGGCUCAACCCCGGAACUGCCUUUGAAACUAGAACGCUAGAAUCUUGGAGAGGUCAGUGGAAUUCCGAGUGUAGAGGUGAAAUUCGUAGAUAUUCGGAAGAACACCAGUGGCGAAGGCGACUGACUGGACAAGUAUUGACGCUGAGGUGCGAAAGCGUGGGGAGCAAACAGG